UGCUGGCCACACUAUUCCUGAUACAAGCCAGGAUAACAUUGGCUUUCUGGGCCACCUAGGCACACUGCUAGCUAAUGCUACAGCUACCUGGCAUUCCCA
Molecule: long non-coding RNA, 99 nt
Organism: Calypte anna (Anna's hummingbird)
Lineage: Eukaryota; Metazoa; Chordata; Aves; Apodiformes; Trochilidae
Exons: 3
Source: RefSeq, a predicted model, not a curated record